AGAGUUUGAUCCUGGCUCAGAUUGAACGCUGGCGGCAUGCCUAACACAUGCAAGUUGAAUGCGAAAGCGCCUUCGGGUGUGAGUAGAGUGGUGGACGGGUGAGUAAUGUGUGGGAAUUUGUCCUGCAGUGGGGGAUAAUUUGAGGAAAUUUGGGUUAAUAUUGUAUAUGUUUUAUGGGAGAAAGGGGGUUUUUGGGCUCUCGCUGCAGGAUGAGCCCGCGUCCGAUUAGUUUGUUGGUAGGGUAAUGGUUUAUUAAGGUGAUGAUUGGUAGUUGGUCUGAGAGGAUGAUCAGCCAUACUGGGAUUGAGAUAUGGCCCAGAUUUUUAUGGGAGGUAGUAGUGGGGAAUAUUGGACAAUGGGCGAAAGCCUGAUCCAGCAAUGCCGCGUGUGUGAAGAAGGCCUGUGGGUUGUAAAGCACUUUUAGUGGGGAAGAAAAGUGUGAGGUUAAUAUUUUUGUGUGUUGAUGUUAUUCACAGAAGAAGCACCGGCUAACUCCGUGUUAGUAGUUGUGGUAAUACGGAGGGUGCAAGCGUUAAUCGGAAUUACUGGGUGUAAAGUGUAUGUAGGCGGCUAGGUCAGUCAGAUGUGAAAGUUUUGGGUUUAAUUUGGGAAUUGUAUUUGAUAUUGCCUGGCUUGAGUAUGGUAGAGGGAGGUGGAAUUUUAGGUGUAGUGGUGAAAUGUGUAGAUAUUUGGAGGAAUAUUAGUGGUGAAGGUGGUUUUUUGGAUUAAUAUUGACGCUGAGGUGCGAAAGUGUGGGGAGUAAAUAGGAUUAGAUAUUUUGGUAGUUUAUGUUGUAAACGAUGUCGACUAGCCGUUGGAUCCAUUUAAGGGUUUAGUGGCGCAGUUAAUGCGAUAAGUCGACCGCCUGGGGAGUAUGGCCGUAAGGUUAAAACUCAAAGGAAUUGAUGGGGGUUUGUAUAAGCGGUGGAGCAUGUGGUUUAAUUCGAUGCAAUGUGAAGAAUUUUACCAGCCCUUGACAUCCUCGGAAUUUAGCAGAGAUGCUUUGGUGCCUUCGGGAGCCGAGUGACAGGUGCUGCAUGGCUGUCGUCAGCUCGUGUUGUGAGAUGUUGGGUUAAGUUUUGUAAUGAGCGCAACCCUUGUCCUUAGUUGUUAGUAUAUAAUGGUGGGAAUUUUAAGGAGACUGCCGGUGAUAAACCGGAGGAAGGUGGGGAUGACGUCAAGUCAUCAUGGCCCUUAUGGGCUGGGCUACACACGUGCUACAAUGGUCGGUACAGAGGGUUGCGAAGCAGUGAUGUGGAGUCAAUCCCAGAAAACCGAUCGUAGUCCGGAUUGCAGUUUGUAAUCUGAUUGCAUGAAGUCGGAAUCGCUA
RNAcentral lists this ribosomal RNA (1330 nucleotides) under metagenome. RNAcentral's name for it is "bacterial SSU rRNA". It matches the Rfam family "Bacterial small subunit ribosomal RNA", at positions 8 to 1337 of the family's 1533-position model. The record is from RNAcentral.